Nomascus leucogenys (northern white-cheeked gibbon) is the source of this 3594-nucleotide long non-coding RNA. RefSeq lists it as uncharacterized. The transcript is spliced from 2 exons. The record is from RefSeq and is a predicted model, not a curated record. NCBI's taxonomy places the organism in Eukaryota, Metazoa, Chordata, Mammalia, Primates, Hylobatidae.
CCUGGGCGACAGAGCAAGACUCCAUCUCAAAAAAAAAAAAAAGUUUAUUUGGCUCACAAUUCUGGAUGACGGGAAGGUUGAAGGUUGGGUGUCUGCAUCUGGUGAGGGCCUCAUGCUGCUUCCACUCAUGGUAGAAGGGGAAGAGGCACUAUGUGUGUAGAGAUCACAUGGCCAGAGAGUGAGGGUGGAAGUGCCAGGUUUUUUUUUUUUUUUUAAAAAACUAGCUUUGGUGGGAACUCCCUCACCCCUGUUCCCCACAGGAAGGCAUUAAUCUAUUUAUGAGGGAUCUACCUGCCAUAACCCAGACACCCCACUAGCCCCCAUCUCCCAACACCAUCACACUGGGGAUUAAAUUUCAACGUGGGAUUUGGAGAGGACAAAUAUCCAAACCAUAGCAGUCUUACAGUAUUUAAAUUAGAGUCAUUUGUGGAGUUUCUAAAAGGUAUGCAUUCCUAGGCCCCUCUCAGGUUAGAUUUAUGAACACGGAUCCCCAGUCUGAAUUUUAAAACAGCAAAAUCUCAUACUGGUUCUACAGAUUAUUCUGAUGCACAAUCUGGAUUAAGAACCACUGUCCUGUAGUCGUGAAGUCUAUAUAUUUUGGUAUUUUCUUUACCUCUUUUCUAAUUAACCAGUCUGAAGGAGUUUGAAUUUUGGGGAUUGUAGAUUGUCUGCAAGAGAAACACAUUAACAUCUGUGCACAUAGAGUCCUUUGUAAUAAUUUGGGAUGAUUGACUUUGUGGCUCCAGGUAGGAGAGCCAGGCUUCAUGAAAGUUAUUCAGUCACUACAGUUUUGGAGGACUGACUCUUAACCCCAAUAGGAAAUCAGUUGUGCUAUUUUAAAUUCAUAAAGCUAUUAUAAAGAGCUGCCUCCAGUAAAAAAAUACAUAUGCCACAUACCCACAAACAGCAAUAUUAAUCCUUCAUUAUUGGAGUUAGACCUUAUAAUCAAAAAGCAAAUUAUUUAAGAUAAAAUUACCAUUGAGGAGUUUAAUACUUUUCAAGGAAUCUUCACGUCAGCCUUGAUCCCAGACCAAUAGAAUGGAAUAACAACAGGAAUGUUUAGCAUUUCUAUGCAGAGAGAAAUCCAAAAGUUUGUCCUAUGUGAGAUUUUGCUUUUCCCAUCUUUUUGAAACUGAUCAGCAGAUACAUAAGAACCUGGAAGAAGCUGCUCGAUUAAGGUUUAAAAAAAAAAAGCAAUUGUUAGCAAUGUGGUGCUGAAAUCAAGACUUAACUUUGAAGUGUCAGGAAUGAUAACCUCCCAUCCACUUCAUGUGAUUUUUAAAAAUAUGUUUUAUAUAUUUCUCCAGGUAUUAAAGUGGAUGUCCACCUUUGCCAUUUCAGAACCUAAAGGCAGAAUCUAAUGAUAAAAUGAAGACAACCUAGUUGUCUUCUAAUAACCUAGUUCUAAUAAUAUUCUCAAAUAUUUUCAUCUAGAGUAAAUAUUUACUGUUGGCUUUGUAUUCUGGGAAUUAGCCCAAGACUAUGCUGCUCAAAUGGGUGCAAAUAUACUCUCAGGUUGCAAUAGCAUGACUAGUGGUAUUUGAAGCAAUAAUUGUUCCAUCUUGGAUUAUCGGUUUUGCUCUUUGAUUUGGUAAAGUUUUUGUUUUUCUACUCGUGCCAGUUGUAUUAAAAUGUUACUAGGUUAAAAACAAACACAGAUAUGUUUAUUCAUUACUGUAUCCCUGUAAUAAUGCCUGGCAUGCAGUAGGCCCCUUAUAUUUGUUGAAUGAAUGAAUUAUAGAAUAGAGUGCAAAAUUAAUUCUAAUGUAUUUUAAAGUAAAGCAUGAGAGUUCAAAGAAAUGUCGUAUUUGCCAUCUACAACUUGGAAUAAUGUUCCUUGAUCCUGCUUUACUUCAUGCACUUUUGCCAGCAGAGGUGGAUGCCUUAGGGAAAAAGUUGGAUAAAUGCUGAUCUAAGGCAACACGUCUAAAUGGUUAUGUGAACAUUUCCCAGUUGAGGUAAAACUAAGAGGAGUGAUAAUAACAUCUCAUCAAUUUAAAGGACAAGUUCACUGAUCGUACUGUCAUACUCCAGAGAUACAUGUGCCAAGAAGCAAAGAGAUGCACUCUUGUAUUCCAGAAAAAAGAUGAUUUAGGACAUACGAGUCAGGCAGCAGAAGUUGGAUCCGUUGUAUGAUUGUGUGUCAAAAUGAGAGUCACACACUUCAAGAACUGUAGGAACUAAUUUUAGAAAAAGACUCUUCAGAACAGAUGACACAUGAAAUGUGAGUUUAUGUAAACAUGUAAAUUUGAGUAGCAUUAGUUUGUUUUCUGUUUAGGAACUGUUUCCGGGUGACAAAGAUGAAAGAAUGCUGCCAGAAAAGUAUAUUGUUAAAUUUUCAGGCCUCCAUUGGUGAAGUUUCAAGUAACCUUUCGCUUAAGUUACUUGUGUCAGAGGAUGGAUGACAGGGUCAUUUAAAUUGUUGGACAAAGCCAUGAAAGGACUUUUAAAAUUUUGUCAUAAAAAUAGCCAAUGAUGUUUUUAAUUUUACAUCUAAAACUAAUUUGCAUUAUCCUGUGUUAGUGACUGAAUCUCAACUCAGUCCUCUUUUUCAGUUCAACUUUUGACAACCUUAUUUUCAUUGACACCAUGGACAGCACAGUAAAAAAAUACACAAAUUUCCUUUGCAGUUAUUGAUAUGGAAUGAUCACUUUAAAAGAGCCAUCAAAUACGCCUACAUAUUGAGCCACUCUUUAUCAUUAAGGUGAAAAGUUCAUUCGUUUAAGGUAUUUGAGUGCUACUAUGCGCCAGCCUUUCUUUGUGAUAAUGUUAAUGUUUUUUUUUCCCUCCCCUCCAUGAAGGGAAGAAAAAAAAAUUAAUUCAGCCAUGAAUUUUAAUAUUCUGGCCAGCACCUUAUCCGUUUGUAGCCAUGCCAACAAAUUUAUUCUGUGAUAGACCAAACUUACAAAGUCACUCUGCAAUUUUAGUAAGCCCCAUUCCCAACAUGAGUGCACUGUCCACGGUCCUGAACCAUCAAUGCUAAAUGGUAUUUAGUUGUUGAUCUUCAUCCUGUCAUGCAGCUAAAUAUUCCAGGAAUACUGAACCAAGUGAGGAGAAAGAUAGCAGUGGGUUGCUGCAAAAGAGGUGAGGGGAGGGGAGAGAUAGCAAGUGAGAAAAAGAGACUAGUGGUGAUGUUUUUAAAUAAUUGAAGUAAAAAAGAGAGAGAGAAGAUGUUCUACUCAGUCCACCAAAGCUUUUUAAUUUCCUUACAUAAUUAACAUGAUGAAUUUUUAAAUAAUUGUUAUAUUUAGUUUUGUUCUUCCACCUUUUGGCUAUUUCUACUACAUAUUUACUUAUCGUAAAAAAUACUUCUAGACCUUCCUCUUAUAGCUAUUGCCUAUCUCUACCUUUGCAGCUGUUCUCCUUUAAAGAAUAGUCUCCAUUAGUUUUCUUGACUUUGUCAUCUCCCUGCACAAAGAUGAAGGGUAUUUAGCUCUGAAAAUCCUUUACUGUUGAAUAUUUAGAUUGUUUUCAGUUUUUACAUAAUGAACAAUGAAUCAUGGGAUUAUUGGCUGCAAAUAAAUUGGAAACGUAAAAGGAGUUUUAAGUUUAAAUUUUUUAAAAAACAGGUAAAAAGAAAAUAUUUGCCAAAGA